GUAGGUGAACCUGCGGAAGGAUCAUCAUUAAAGGGCUUUAUGCCCAAUCCAACCCGUCAUUACGCGCACUUGUAUAACUUUGUUGGGAAGCUUUUGUUUCCCAGCGUUUUAAACUACCAAUUCUUCUAUUGAACAAUACUGAUUUUAUAAAACUAUAAAAUACAACUUUUAACAAUGGAUCUCUUGGCUCUC
RNAcentral lists this unclassified non-coding RNA (192 nucleotides) under rhizosphere metagenome. RNAcentral describes it as "partial ribosomal RNA internal transcribed spacer region". The record is from RNAcentral.